UCAACUCAAACCUCUCUCCAUCGAGCUCCAAAUUUGUCGGCCUCGUCGCAGGCGAUAUCAAGCCUCAGCGGACCUUGUAGCGGCAAACCCAUCGCCGACCAACCCAGCUGCCUGGUAGCCUACAAACUGUUCGAUCAAAUGUCUCAAUGCUCUGCAAGCUUACUUCUUUGACCUUUUGCAUAAGAAGAAGAAUAGUUUCCAAUGUUCUUCCUGAAUUGGAUUACAAUGAUGGCCUUGCUGACAGCAGUGCACCCAAUUUGAGACCUCUGCUUGGCAACUAGACAUGUCUUUUGUUUAAAAAAAAUUACUGUGAUGUUAAGCUAAUGUGGUGGUUGCUUCUUGCAUGAUCUUUGUUUUUCAAAUGUAAGAGAACAAUUGUAUAACUGGGUAUAUGCAACAAGUUAUUUCUUGAUACUCUGUAGUCCAUGAAUUAACAUAUGGUAAAGGGGAAAGUCAUAAACCUUUGGUAAGAAUGUCACAAUAGAUAUGACGAACAGCGCUAAAAUUGUUUGAUUAAUGCUUUUUGUCAAUUCAGUUUCUUCCAUUGUAUGUAUUUCAAUUGAAAUCAUGUUCUUUUGCUCUAUAAUAUGGUAUUUGAUUGUGCUCGAAGCAUUGAUCCCUCCUUUACCUUGCCAUGGGCUAGAACCUCAGCGGAUAACUACCAUCAAUCUGGGUAUUCCUUCUCCUUAUUUCAUGAAAAUAUUUCCUAUAUGUGCUAUGAACAAUUAUUUAUUCAAGCUGAUUUUUCUAACUAUUUUUUUAAUAGGGGCAUUCCAAUAAAUGAAUCUUUUGAAACCUGCUUAAGGGCUGUGCAGAUCCUGCCUGAAAGUUUUUUUCCCUAGCAUGGCUAAUGUCUUCACUUGUCAGUAUAAGAAGGCCAAGCAGCUAACACCAUGGUGUUUUGAUGAUACUUUGAAAUGCUGAUCAGGCGGAUAUGCUUUUCUGUUAUCCAUAAGCACUCUACGAUUGCACUAAUGCAGGCUGGUCUUGCAACUGAAGCAGUGCCAGAGUGUGAAGAGCUGAGAACUCAAGAUAUUUUCCAGGUGCUAUAAAAUAUAUUACCAAUAAUCAGACGUACAACAGCCGGACCAGAGAAGCAGACAGUAUCAUCGGUUCUUGAUAUUCUAUUUUGUACAACAGUUCCUGCUGAAACAAUCAUUGAAUGCAAAAGCAAGUGAAACAUGGAAAUUUUACAUAUGCAACGAAGAUCAUACGUUUCAAUUGUUUUAUAUGAUUAUACCGAAAUAUCACCAUUAUGUAUCUGAACUUCCCGAAUAUUUGUAGUUUCCAACCAAACAAAUCUGAAUAGGAAUGAAUUUUCCAGCAGAACUAUAUCUGCAAGCA
Panicum virgatum (switchgrass) is the source of this 1344-nucleotide long non-coding RNA. RefSeq lists it as uncharacterized. The record is from RefSeq and is a predicted model, not a curated record. NCBI's taxonomy places the organism in Eukaryota, Viridiplantae, Streptophyta, Magnoliopsida, Poales, Poaceae. The transcript is spliced from 2 exons.